Molecule: ribosomal RNA, 482 nt
Filed under: uncultured bacterium
Lineage: Bacteria
Description: partial 16S ribosomal RNA
Rfam family: Bacterial small subunit ribosomal RNA
Source: RNAcentral
GACGAACGCUGGCGGCGUGCUUAACACAUGCAAGUCGAACGAUGAAGAAGAGAAACGCGAACUUCGGUUCAACUUUCACUUCGGAUUAGUGGCAGACGGGUGAGUAACGCGUGAGCAACCUACCUCUUACAAAGGGAUAGCCUCGGGAAACCGUGAUUAAUACCAUAUGACACAUUCAUAAGGCAUCUUAAGAAUGUUAAAGCUACGGCGGUAAGAGAUGGGCUCGCGUCCCAUUAGCUAGUUGGUGAGGUAACGGCCCACCAAGGCGACGAUGGGUAACCGGGCUGAGAGGGUGAACGGUCACAUUGGAACUGAGACACGGUCCAAAAUCCUACGGGAGGCAGCAGUGGGGAAUAUUGCAAAAUGGAGGGAACUCUGAUGCAGCGACGCCGCGUGAGCGAUGAAGGAAUUCGUUUCGUAAAGCUCUGUUCUAUGGGAAGAAAAGGACUGUACCAUAGGAGAAAGCCCCGGCUAAAUACGUG